Coffea arabica (coffee) is the source of this 5464-nucleotide non-coding RNA. NCBI's taxonomy places the organism in Eukaryota, Viridiplantae, Streptophyta, Magnoliopsida, Gentianales, Rubiaceae. The record is from RefSeq and is a predicted model, not a curated record.
CUGUUGUAGAUAUAUAAGAAGAAAAACCACAUUGGUAUUUGGUAUAUGACAUAUUUUUACAAAAACCAAGAGAAGCUUUCUGACCAUGGAGGUGAGAAUUCAACCAGGACUCUACUGAUGGCUAAGCUGAAGCGGUUGAUUGAGGCAAAUCCACUCAUUGGUGAUAAGCUUCAGUUUCCUACCUUGCAGAUGUCAAGACUAGAAACACUAGUUAAACAGAGAUUCAGCAAUGCAAUACUAAAGGAUCUAAUCAUAAACUGCCCAAGAAUCUUCUAUAUGAGGACCCUUACCGUGGUCAAGCAACUGACACCAUCUCUUUUAGCUUAUGGAGGGUGAUCGUAAAAUGAUGUUGGAUAUUCUUAAAAGGGAACUCGAAGUGUUUACUCUUUCCCAAGCAGAUCUUUACAGGGGACUUGUACCCUUUUUCCAAUUGAACAGCUUCAGAAAGCAAGGGAAGCUUUCAGCCAGGAUCCUACUAAUGGCUAAGCUGAAGCAAUUGACUCAGGCAAAUCCACUCAUUGGUGACAAGCUUCAAUUUCCUACCCUGCAGAAGUCCAGACUAGAAACACUAGUCAAACUGAGCUUAAAUUGGCAGAUUCAGUAGCGCGAUAAUGAAGGAUCUAAUCAUAAACUGUCCGAGAAUCUUCUAUAUGAGGACCCUAACUGUGAUCAAGCAACUCACACCAUCUCCUAUAGCUCAUGCAGUUGGAGAGGGAAUCAAGGCUUUUCUUUGAUAUCAAGUAUUUCAAAGAAUGUGUGAGCAAUAGAGACUGGAAGGAGGUGGAGAAGUACUUAUCACGGUUCACAAAUGCAAAUGAUAACCCUGAAUCCUUUAGCAUUUUCUUUGAGAUCAGAAGGCAGAAUUAUUAUGAAGUACAUGACAAAAGUGAUCAUAAAAUGAUGCUGGACAUUCUUAAAAGGGAACUCGAAGUGUUUACUCUUUCCCAAGCGGAUCUUUACAGGGACUUGUACCCCUUUUCCAAUUGAAUAGCUUCAGAAAACAAGAGAAGCUUUCUGGCCAUGGAGAUGAGAAGUCUGCUAGGAUCCUACUGAUGGCUAAGCUGAAGCAGUUGAUUGAGGCAAAUCCACUCAUCGGUGAUAAGCUUCAGUUUCAUACCUUACAGAUGUCAAGACCAGAAACAGUAGUCAAACUGAGAGCUUAUAUUGGCAGAUUCAGCAAUGCGAUCUGAAGGAUCUAAUCAUAAACUGCCCAAGAAUCUUCUAUAUGAGGACCCUUACUGUGAUCAAGCAACUGACACCAUCCCCUGUACCUCAUGGAGUUGGAGAGGGAAUCAAGGCUUUUCUUUGAUAUCAAGUAUUUCGAAGAAUGUGUGAGCAAUGGAGACUGGGAGGAUUUGGAAAAGUACUUAUUACGGUUCACAAAUGCAUAGGAUAACCCUAUAUCCUUUAGCAUUUUCUUUGAGAUCAGAAUGUAGACUUAUUAUGAAGCACAUGACAAGAGUGAUCGUAAAAUGAUGUUGGACAUUCUUAAAAGGGACCUCGAAGUGUUUACUACAGGAGACUUGUACGCCUUUUCCAAUUGAACAGCGUCAGAAAGCAAGAGAAGCUUUCUGUCCAUAGAGAUAAGAAGUCAGCCAGGAUCCUACUGAUGGCUAAACUAAAGCAGUUGACUGUGGCAAAUCCACUCAUUGGUGACAAGCUUCAGUUCCCUACCUUGCAGAAGCCGAGACUAGAAACACUAGUCAAACUGAGGUGAACAGGUUAAGUUGGCAGAUUCAGCAAUGCGAUAAUGAAGGAUCUAAUCAUAAACUGUACGAGAAUCUUCCAUAUGAGGACCCUUACUGUGAUCAAGCAACUGACACCAUCCCCUGUAGCUCAUGGAGGUUGGAGAGGGAAUCAAGGCUUUUCUUUAAUAUCAAGUAUUUCUAAGAAUGUGUGAGCAAUGGAGACUGGGAGGAGGUGGGGAAGUACUUAUCACGGUUCACAAAUGCAGAGGAUAACCCGGAAUCCUUUAGCAUUUUCUUUGAGAUCAGAAGGCAGAAUUAUUAUGAAGCACAUGACAAAUUAUGGUGAUUCUGUUCAUAGUAUGGAUGAGUUGCAAUUGGUGACUCUGCAUUGGAAGUGAAGCUUCUUAGAAUGCUAUGCCUAGAAGAAUGCCUUUAAUUGCCCCCUAUAAACUGAGGCAAAAUGUGAUACUUGAAUUUGAAACUGAGGCAAGCAAGGUGUUCUGGGGUCAAAAUAAGGCAUUCCGGAUGCAGGGAGUACGGUACCAAAAACUCCAAAGAUGGAAUGAUUGUGAUUUGUUUUCAAAAUAAUAUGUGUGCGGACUGUAUAAGAGGAUUCAUCUCAAAUCAAUUGAAUGAUUAAGUUGCCAGCUGUGCUUAUGCUCUUUCCAUUCUAUCAAUGUCAUCUUUGUACUCCAUAGAAUUUUACCAUCUGGCCUUCUCUGGUACUUGUAUGAUUUUUUAGGCUUUGUAAGAGUGCGUGAUGUGGAUAUAUAAGAAGCAAAACCACAUUGGCAUUAUGUAUAUGACAUAUAUUUCUAGAAAACAAGAGAAUCCUUCUGGCCAUGGAGAUGAGAAGUCUGCUAGGAUCCUACUGAUAGCUAAGCUUAAGCAGUUGAUUGAGGCAAAUCCACUAAUUGGUGAUAAGCUUCAGUUUCCUACCUUGUAGAAGUCAAGACUAGAAACACUAGGCAAAUUGAGUUUAUAUUGGCAGAUUCAACAAUGCGAUACUAAAGUAUCUAAUCAUAAACUGCCCAAGAGUGUUCUAUAUGAGGACCCUUAUUGUGAUCAAGCAACUGACACCAUCCCCUGUAGCUCAUGGAGUUGGAGAGGGAAUCAAGGCUUUUCUUUGAUAUCAAGUAUUUCCAAGAAUGUGUGAGCAACGGAGACUGGGAGGAGAUGGAGAAGUACUUAUCACUGUUCACAAAUGCAGAUAAUAACCCUGAAUCCUUUAGCAUUUUCUUUGAGAUCAGAAGGCAGAAUUAUUAUGAAGCACAUGACAAGAAUGAACGUAACAUGAUGCUGGACAUUCUUAGAAGGGACCUCGAAGUACUUACUCAUUCCCAAGCAGAUCUUUACAGGGGUCUUGUACACCUUUUCCAAUUGAACAAUUUCAGUAUUGGAAGUGAAGCUUCUUAGAAUGGUAUGAGCAAAAGAAUGCCUUUAAUUGCCCCCUAUAAACGGAGGCAAAAUGUGAUGCUUGGAUUUGAAACUGACGCAAACUUGCUGCUCCGGGGUCAAAAUCAGGCAUUCUGGAUACAGAGAGUGCUGAACCAGGAAAUUCGAAGGUGGAAGGAGCGGUUGAUUUGUUUUCAAAAUAAUGCAUCUGCAAACUAUAUUAGAGGAUUCAUCUCAAAUCAGUUGAAUGAUUAAGUUGCCCGCUGUGCUUAUAUUCUUUCAAUUCUGUCAUUGUCUUCUUUGUACUCUGUAGAAUUUUUCAAUCUGACCUUCUCUGGCACUUGUACAAUUUUUUAAGCUUUGUAAGAGUGUGUGAUGUGGAUAUAUAUGAAGCAAAACCACAUUGGUAUAAAGUAUAUGACAUAUUUUUCCGGAAAGCUAGUGAAGCUUUCAUACCAUGGAGAUGAGAACUCAGCCAGGAUCCUACUGAUGGCUAAGCUUAAGCAGUUGAUUGAGGCAAAUCCACUAAUUGGUGAUAAGCUUCAGUUUCCUACCUUGCAGAAGUCAAGACUAGAAACACUAGUCAAACUGAGUUUCUAUUGGCAGGUUCAGCAAUGCGAUACUAAAGUAUCUAAUUAUAAACUGCCCAAGAAUGUUCUAUAUGAGGACCCUUAUUGUGAUCAAGGAACUGACAGCAUCCACUGUAGCUCAUGGAUUUGGAGAGGGAAUCAAGGCUUUUCUUUGAUAUCAAGUAUUUUGAAGAAUGUGUGUGCAAUGGAGACUGGGAGGAGGCGGAGAAGUACUUAUCACGGUUCACAAAUGCAGAGGAUAACCUUGAAUCCUUUAGCAUUUUCUUUGAGAUCAAAAGGCAAAUUAUUAUGAAGCACAUGACAAGGGUGAUCGUAAAAUGAUGCUGGACAUUCUUAAAAGGGAACUUGAAGUGUUUACUCUUUCCCAAGCAGAUCUUUACAGGGACUUGUACCCCUCUUCCAAUUGAACAGUUUCAGGUUGCAAUUGGUAACUCUGUAUUGGAAGUGAAGCUUCUUAGAAUGGUAUGAGCAGAAGAAUGCCUUUAAUUGCCCCCUAUAAAUUGGGAUAGAAAGUGAUACUUGGAUUUGAAACUAAGGCAAGCAAGCCGUUCCGGGGGUAAAAUCAGGCAUUCUGGAUGCAAGGAGUGCGGUACCAGAAACUCCAAAGUUAGAAUGAGUGGUUGAUUUGUUUUCAAAAUAAUGUUUGUGCAAAUUGUAUUAGAGGAUUCAUCUCAAAACAGUUGAAUGAUUAAACUGCCUGCUGUGCUUAUGUUUUUUCCAUUAUGUCAAUGCCUCCUUUGUACUCCGUAGAAAUUUUCAAUUUGGCCUUUCCUGGUACUUGUACUAUUUUUUAGGCAUUGUAAGAAUGUGUGAUGUGGAUAUAAGAGAAGCAAAACCACAUUGGUAUUAGGUAGAUGACAUAUUUUUACAGAAAUGAAAAGAAGCUUUCUAACCAAGGAGUUGAGAAUUCAACCAGGAUCCUACUGAUGGCUCAGCUGAAGCGGUUGAUUGAGGCAAAUCCACUCAUUGGUGAUAAGCUUCAGUUUCCUACCUUGCAGAUGUCAAGACUAGAAACACUAGUCAAACUGAGUUUAUAUUGACAGAUUCAGCAAUGCGAUACUAAAGUAUCUAAUCAUAAACUGCCCAAGAAUGUUCUAUAUGAGGACCCUUACUGUGAUCAAGCAACUGACACCAUCCCCUGUAGCUCAUGGAGUUGGAGAGGGAAUCAAGGCUUUUCUUUGAUAUCAAAUGUUUCUAAGAAUGUGUGAGCAAUGGAGACUGGGGGGAGGUGGAGAAGUACUUAUCACAGUUCACAAAUGCAGAGGAUAACCCUGAAUCCUUUAGCAUUUUCUUUGAGAUCAGAAGGCAAAUUAUUAUGAAGCACAUGACAAGGGUGAUCGUAAAAUGAUGCUGGACAUUCUUAAAAUGGAACUCGAAGUGUUUACUCUUUUCCAAGCAGAUCUUUACAGGGACUUGUACCCCUUUUUCAAUUGAACAGCUUCAGGUGUAUAUUACAACGUCUUUUUUGUUCUCAUUAAUUGAUACAAGUAAUUAUGGAGAUUCUGUUUGUAGUUUGGAUGAGUUGCAAUUGGUAACUCUGUAUUGGAAGUGAAGGUUCUUAGAAUGGUAUGAGGAGAAGAAUGCCUUCAAUUGCCCCCUACAAAUUGAGACAAAAAGUGAUACUUGGAUUUGAAACUGAGGCAAGCAUGCUGUUCCGGAGUCAAAAUAAGGCAUUCUGGAUGCAGGAAGUGCUGCGCCAGAAACUCUAAAGAUGGAAUGAGUGGUUGAUUUUUUUCAAAAUAAUGUGUGUACUGACUGUAUAAGACGAUUAAUCUCAAAUCAAUUGAAUGA